Molecule: ribosomal RNA, 904 nt
Filed under: uncultured Bacteroidota bacterium
Lineage: Bacteria; Pseudomonadati; Bacteroidota
Description: bacterial SSU rRNA
Rfam family: Bacterial small subunit ribosomal RNA
Source: RNAcentral
AGAGUUUGAUCCUGGCUCAGGAUGAACGCUAGCGGGAGGCCUAACACAUGCAAGCCGAGCGGUAUUGUUUCUUCGGAAACGAGAGAGCGGCGCACGGGUGCGGAACACGUGUGCAACCUGCCUUUAUCUGGGGGAUAGCCUUUCGAAAGGAAGAUUAAUACCCCAUAAUAUUUUGAAUGGCAUCAUUUAAAAUUGAAAACUCCGGUGGAUAGAGAUGGGCACGCGCAAGAUUAGAUAGUUGGUAGGGUAACGGCCUACCAAGUCAGUGAUCUUUAGGGGGCCUGAGAGGGUGAUCCCCCACACUGGUACUGAGACACGGACCAGACUCCUACGGGAGGCAGCAGUGAGGAAUAUUGGACAAUGGGUGAGAGCCUGAUCCAGCCAUCCCGCGUGAAGGACGACGGCCCUAUGGGUUGUAAACUUCUUUUGUACAGGGAUAAACCUAUUUACGUGUAAAUAGCUGAAGGUACUGUACGAAUAAGCACCGGCUAACUCCGUGCCAGCAGCCGCGGUAAUACGGAGGGUGCAAGCGUUAUCCGGAUUUAUUGGGUUUAAAGGGUCCGUAGGCGGAUCCGUAAGUCAGUGGUGAAAUCUCAUAGCUUAACUAUGAAACUGCCAUUGAUACUGCGGGUCUUGAGUAAGGUAGAAGUAGCUGGAAUAAGUAGUGUAGCGGUGAAAUGCAUAGAUAUUACUUAGAACACCAAUUGCGAAGGCAGGUUACUAUGUCUUAACUGACGCUGAUGGACGAAAGCGUGGGGAGCGAACAGGAUUAGAUACCCUGGUAGUCCACGCCGUAAACGAUGCUAACUCGUUUUUGGGCUUUCGGGUUCAGAGACUAAGCGAAAGUGAUAAGUUAGCCACCUGGGAGUACGAACGCAAGUUUGAAACUCAAAGGAAUUGACGG